This 447-nucleotide ribosomal RNA is filed under the name uncultured bacterium. RNAcentral's name for it is "bacterial SSU rRNA". It matches the Rfam family "Bacterial small subunit ribosomal RNA", at positions 355 to 825 of the family's 1533-position model. The record is from RNAcentral.
UGGGGAAUUUUGGACAAUGGGCGAAAGCCUGAUCCAGCAAUGCCGCGUGAGUGAAGAAGGCCUUCGGGUUGUAAAGCUCUUUUGGCGGGGACGAUAAUGACGGUACCCGCAGAAUAAGCCCCGGCUAACUUCGUGCCAGCAGCCGCGGUAAUACGAAGGGGGCUAGCGUUGUUCGGAAUUACUGGGCGUAAAGCGCACGUAGGCGGAUUUGUAAGUCAGGGGUGAAAUCCCGGGGCUCAACCCCAGAACUGCCUUUGAUACUGGCUGUCUCGAGGUCGAGAGAGGUUGGUGGAAUUCCUAGUGUAGAGGUGAAAUUCGUAGAUAUUAGGAAGAACACCAGUGGCGAAGGCGGCCAACUGGCUCGAUACUGACGCUGAGGUGCGAAAGCGUGGGGAGCAAACAGGAUUAGAUACCCCCGUAGUCCCUGAGCGGGCUGGCAAGGCGCAU